This 328-nucleotide ribosomal RNA is filed under the name uncultured Lachnospiraceae bacterium. RNAcentral describes it as "bacterial SSU rRNA". It matches the Rfam family "Bacterial small subunit ribosomal RNA", at positions 355 to 697 of the family's 1533-position model. The record is from RNAcentral. Lineage: Bacteria; Bacillati; Bacillota; Clostridia; Lachnospirales; Lachnospiraceae.
UGGGGAAUAUUGCACAAUGGGGGGAAACCCUGAUGCAGCAACGCCGCGUGAGUGAAGAAGUAUCUCGGUAUGUAAAGCUCUAUCAGCAGGGAAGAAGACAGACGGUACCUGACUAAGAAGCCCCGGCUAACUACGUGCCAGCAGCCGCGGUAAUACGUAGGGGGCAAGCGUUAUCCGGAUUUACUGGGUGUAAAGGGAGCGCAGGCGGCGAAGCAAGCCAGAGGUGAAAACCCGGGGCUCAACCCCGAGGAUUGCCUUUGGAACUGUUUUGCUCGAGUGCUGGAGGGGCAGGCGGAAUUCCUGGUGUAGCGGUGAAAUGCGUAGAUAU